This 551-nucleotide ribosomal RNA is filed under the name uncultured Anaplasma sp. RNAcentral describes it as "bacterial SSU rRNA". It matches the Rfam family "Bacterial small subunit ribosomal RNA", at positions 72 to 655 of the family's 1533-position model. The record is from RNAcentral. Lineage: Bacteria; Pseudomonadati; Pseudomonadota; Alphaproteobacteria; Rickettsiales; Anaplasmataceae.
CUCGUAGCUUGCUAUGAGAACAAUUAGUGGCAGACGGGUGAGUAAUGCAUAGGAAUCUACCUAGUAGUAUAGGAUAGCCACUAGAAGUGGUGGGUAAUACUGUAUAAUCCCUGCGGGGGAAAGAUUUAUCGCUACAUGAUGAGCCUAUGUUAGAUUAGCUAGUUGGUGGGGUAAUGGCCUACCAAGGCAGUGAUCUAUAGCUGGUCUGAGAGGAUGAUCAGCCACACUGGAACUGAGACACGGUCCAGACUCCUACGGGAGGCAGCAGUGGGGAAUAUUGGACAAUGGGCGCAAGCCUGAUCCAGCUAUGCCGCGUGAGUGAGGAAGGCCUUGGGGUUGUAAAACUCUUUCAGUGGGGAAGAUAAUGACGGUACCCACAGAAGAAGUCCCGGCAAACUCCGUGCCAGCAGCCGCGGUAAUACGGAGGGGGCAAGCGUUGUUCGGAAUUAUUGGGCGUAAAGGGCAUGUAGGUGGUUUGGUAAGUUAAAGGUGAAAUGCCAGGGCUUAACCCUGGAGCUGCUUCUAAUACUGCCAGACUGGAGUCCGGGAGA